GGGUUGUGAGGUUAAGCGACUAAGCGUACACGGUGGAUGCCCUGGCAGUCAGAGGCGAUGAAGGACGUGCUAAUCUGCGAAAAGCGUCGGUAAGGUGAUAUGAACCGUUAUAACCGGCGAUGUCCGAAUGGGGAAACCCAGUGCAAUUCGUUGCACUAUCGUUAACUGAAUACAUAGGUUAACGAGGCGAACCGGGGGAACUGAAACAUCUAAGUACCCCGAGGAAAAGAAAUCAACCGAGAUUCCCCCAGUAGCGGCGAGCGAACGGGGAGCAGCCCAGAGUCUGAAUCAGCUUGUGUGUUAGUGGAACGGUCUGGAAAGUCCGACGGUACAGGGUGAUAGUCCCGUACACCAAAAUGCACAGGUUGUGAACUCGAAGAGUAGGGCGGGACACGUGGUAUCCUGUCUGAAUAUGGGGGGACCAUCCUCCAAGGCUAAAUACUCCUGACUGACCGAUAGUGAACCAGUACCGUGAGGGAAAGGCGAAAAGAACCCCGGCGAGGGGAGUGAAAAAGAACCUGAAACCGUGUACGUACAAGCAGUGGGAGCACCUUCGGGUGUGACUGCGUACCUUUUGUAUAAUGGGUCAGCGACUUAUAUUCUGUAGCAAGGUUAACCGUAUAGGGGAGCCGCAGGGAAACCGAGUCUUAACUGGGCGUUAAGUUGCAGGGUAUAGACCCGAAACCCGGUGAUCUAGCCAUGGGCAGGUUGAAGGUUGGGUAACACUAACUGGAGGACCGAACCGACUAAUGUUGAAAAAUUAGCGGAUGACUUGUGGCUGGGGGUGAAAGGCCAAUCAAACCGGGAGAUAGCUGGUUCUCCCCGAAAGCUAUUUAGGUAGCGCCUCGUGAAUUCAUCUUCGGGGGUAGAGCACUGUUUCGGCUAGGGGGUCAUCCCGACUUACCAACCCGAUGCAAACUACGAAUACCGAAGAAUGUUAUCACGGGAGACACACGGCGGGUGCUAACGUCCGUCGUGAAGAGGGAAACAACCCAGACCGCCAGCUAAGGUCCCAAAGUCAUGGUUAAGUGGGAAACGAUGUGGGAAGGCACAGACAGCCAGGAUGUUGGCUUAGAAGCAGCCAUCAUUUAAAGAAAGCGUAAUAGCUCACUGGUCGAGUCGGCCUGCGCGGAAGAUGUAACGGGGCUAAACCAUGCACCGAAGCUGCGGCAGCGACACUAUGUGUUGUUGGGUAGGGGAGCGUUCUGUAAGCCUGCGAAGGUGUGCUGUGAGGCAUGCUGGAGGUAUCAGAAGUGCGAAUGCUGACAUAAGUAACGAUAAAGCGGGUGAAAAGCCCGCUCGCCGGAAGACCAAGGGUUCCUGUCCAACGUUAAUCGGGGCAGGGUGAGUCGACCCCUAAGGCGAGGCCGAAAGGCGUAGUCGAUGGGAAACAGGUUAAUAUUCCUGUACUUGGUGUUACUGCGAAGGGGGGACGGAGAAGGCUAUGUUAGCCGGGCGACGGUUGUCCCGGUUUAAGCAUGUAGGCUGGUUGUCCAGGCAAAUCCGGAUAAUCAAGGCUGAGGUGUGAUGACGAGGCACUACGGUGCUGAAGUAACAAAUGCCCUGCUUCCAGGAAAAGCCUCUAAGCAUCAGGUAACAUCAAAUCGUACCCCAAACCGACACAGGUGGUCAGGUAGAGAAUACCAAGGCGCUUGAGAGAACUCGGGUGAAGGAACUAGGCAAAAUGGUGCCGUAACUUCGGGAGAAGGCACGCUGGUGUGUAGGUGAAGUCCCUGCGGAUGGAGCUGAGACCAGUCGAAGAUACCAGCUGGCUGCAACUGUUUAUUAAAAACACAGCACUGUGCAAACACGAAAGUGGACGUAUACGGUGUGACGCCUGCCCGGUGCCGGAAGGUUAAUUGAUGGGGUUAUCCGUAAGGAGAAGCUCUUGAUCGAAGCCCCGGUAAACGGCGGCCGUAACUAUAACGGUCCUAAGGUAGCGAAAUUCCUUGUCGGGUAAGUUCCGACCUGCACGAAUGGCGUAAUGAUGGCCAGGCUGUCUCCACCCGAGACUCAGUGAAAUUGAACUCGCUGUGAAGAUGCAGUGUACCCGCGGCAAGACGGAAAGACCCCGUGAACCUUUACUAUAGCUUGACACUGAACAUUGAGCCUUGAUGUGUAGGAUAGGUGGGAGGCUUUGAAGCGUGGACGCCAGUCUGCGUGGAGCCAACCUUGAAAUACCACCCUUUAAUGUUUGAUGUUCUAACGUUGGCCCCU
This 2217-nucleotide ribosomal RNA is filed under the name Klebsiella pneumoniae. RNAcentral's name for it is "bacterial LSU rRNA". It matches the Rfam family "Bacterial large subunit ribosomal RNA", at positions 1 to 2236 of the family's 2925-position model. The record is from RNAcentral. Lineage: Bacteria; Pseudomonadati; Pseudomonadota; Gammaproteobacteria; Enterobacterales; Enterobacteriaceae.